AGAGUUUGAUCCUGGCUCAGGAUGAACGCUAGCGGCAGGCCUAAUACAUGCAAGUCGAGGGGCAUCACGGGUAGCAAUACCUGGUGGCGACCGGCGCACGGGUGCGUAACGCGUAUGCGACCUACCUACAACAGAGGGAUAGCCCGGAGAAAUUCGGAUUAAUACUUCAUAAAGCAGGGGUACCGCCUGGUACUAUUUGCUAAAGGUCGCGAGAUUGGUUGUAGAUGGGCAUGCGUUCGAUUAGCUAGUUGGUAGUGUAACGGACUACCAAGGCGACGAUCGAUAGGGGGUCUGAGAGGAUGAUCCCCCACACUGGUACUGAGAUACGGACCAGACUCCUACGGGAGGCAGCAGUAGGGAAUAUUGGGCAAUGGACGGAAGUCUGACCCAGCCAUGCCGCGUGCAGGAAGAAGGCCUUCUGGGUUGUAAACUGCUUUUAUCAGGGAAGAAAAUGCCCUUGCGAGGGAGCUUGCCGGUACCUGAUGAAUAAGCACCGGCUAACUACGUGCCAGCAGCCGCGGUAAUACGUAAGGGGGCAACCCUUUUCCGGAUUUUUUGGUUUUAAAGGUGGGUAAGCCGCCCGGCAAGUCAAUGGGGAAAUGGUACAACUCAACUGUGGAACUGCCAUUGAUACUGUUAGGCUUGAGUACAGAUGAGGUAAGCGGAAUUUAUGUUGCUUCGGUGAAAUGCAUAAAUACCAUAAAUGAACACCAAUAACGAAGACAGCUUACUGGGCUGUAACUGACUCUGAUGCACGAAAGCGUGGGUAUCGACGGGAUUAGAUACCCUGGUAGUCCACGCUGUAGACGAUGCAGCCUCGCUGAUGGAAAAAUAAUGUCAGUGGGCCAAUCGAAAUCGGUAAAGUCUCCACCAGGGUAGUAUCCCCUCUAGGGUUGAACCUCCCAGGAAAUGGACGGGGAGUCAGCAAAAGCGGUGGAG
This 939-nucleotide ribosomal RNA is filed under the name uncultured bacterium. Its description in RNAcentral is "bacterial SSU rRNA". It matches the Rfam family "Bacterial small subunit ribosomal RNA", at positions 8 to 937 of the family's 1533-position model. The record is from RNAcentral.